GACGAACGCUGGCGGCGUGCUUAACACAUGCAAGUCGAACGGAAAGGCCCUGCUUUUGUGGGGUGCUCGAGUGGCGAACGGGUGAGUAACACGUGAGUAACCUGCCCUUGACUUUGGGAUAACUUCAGGAAACUGGGGCUAAUACCGGAUAGGAGCUCCUGCUGCAUGGUGGGGGUUGGAAAGUUUCGGCGGUUGGGGAUGGACUCGCGGCUUAUCAGCUUGUUGGUGGGGUAGUGGCUUACCAAGGCUUUGACGGGUAGCCGGCCUGAGAGGGUGACCGGCCACAUGGCGACUGAGAUACGGCCCAGAAGCCUACGGGAGGCAGAAGUGGGGAAUAUUGCGCAAUGGGCGGAAGCCUGAUGCAGCAACGCCGCGUGCGGGAUGACGGCUUUCGGGUGGAAAACCGAUUUCGCCUGUGACGAAGCGUGAGUGACGGUAAUGGGUAAAGAAGCACCGGCUAACUACGUG
RNAcentral lists this ribosomal RNA (468 nucleotides) under uncultured bacterium. Its description in RNAcentral is "partial 16S ribosomal RNA". It matches the Rfam family "Bacterial small subunit ribosomal RNA", at positions 28 to 507 of the family's 1533-position model. The record is from RNAcentral.